This 855-nucleotide ribosomal RNA is filed under the name Aspergillus versicolor. RNAcentral's name for it is "partial large subunit ribosomal RNA". It matches the Rfam family "Eukaryotic large subunit ribosomal RNA", at positions 58 to 930 of the family's 3401-position model. Lineage: Eukaryota; Fungi; Ascomycota; Eurotiomycetes; Eurotiales; Aspergillaceae. The record is from RNAcentral.
AAAGAAACCAACCGGGAUUGCCCCAGUAACGGCGAGUGAAGCGGCAAGAGCUCAAAUUUGAAAUCUGGCCCCUCCGGGGUCCGAGUUGUAAUUUGCAGAGGAUGCUUCGGGUGCGGCCCCUGUCUAAGUGCCCUGGAACGGGCCGUCAGAGAGGGUGAGAAUCCCGUCUUGGGCAGGGUGCCCGUGCCCGUGUGAAGCUCCUUCGACGAGUCGAGUUGUUUGGGAAUGCAGCUCUAAAUGGGUGGUAAAUUUCAUCUAAAGCUAAAUACCGGCCGGAGACCGAUAGCGCACAAGUAGAGUGAUCGAAAGAUGAAAAGCACUUUGAAAAGAGAGUUAAACAGCACGUGAAAUUGUUGAAAGGGAAGCGCUUGCGACCAGACUCGGCCUCGGGGUUCAGCCAGCAUUCGUGCUGGUGUACUUCCCCGGGGCCGGGCCAGCGUCGGUUCGGGCGGCCGGUCAAAGGCCCCAGGAAUGUAUCGUCCUCCGGGACGUCUUAUAGCCUGGGGUGCAAUGCGGCCAGCCUGGACCGAGGAACGCGCUUCGGCACGGACGCUGGCGUAAUGGUCACAAACGACCCGUCUUGAAACACGGACCAAGGAGUCUAACAUCUACGCGAGUGUUCGGGUGUCAAACCCGUACGCGCAGUGAAAGCGAACGGAGGUGGGAGCCCCUUUGGGGCGCACCAUCGACCGAUCCUGAAGUCUUCGGAUGGAUUUGAGUACGAGCGUAGCUGUGGGGACCCGAAAGAUGGUGAACUAUGCCUGAAUAGGGUGAAGCCAGAGGAAACUCUGGUGGAGGCUCGCAGCGGUUCUGACGUGCAAAUCGAUCGUCAAAUUUGGGUAUAGGGGCGAAAGA